Molecule: ribosomal RNA, 291 nt
Filed under: Clostridium perfringens
Lineage: Bacteria; Bacillati; Bacillota; Clostridia; Eubacteriales; Clostridiaceae
Description: partial 23S ribosomal RNA
Rfam family: Bacterial large subunit ribosomal RNA
Source: RNAcentral
GGAGCGGUGGACUGGUUACGAGUGAGAAUGUUGGCAUCAGUAGCGAGAUGUGGGUGAGAAUCCCACAGGCCGAAAACCUAAGGUUUCCUCAGGAAGGUUCGUCCGCUGAGGGUUAGUCGGGACCUAAGCCGAGGCCGAAAGGCGUAGGUGAUGGACAACUGGUUGAUAUUCCAGUACCACUACCAUCGUUAUUAUCGAUGGCGUGACGCAGGAGGAUAGUGUGUGCUAGCUAUUGGAUGCUAGUCUAAGCGUUUAGGCAGUGAGAGUAGGCAAAUCCGCUCUCAUAAUGCU